UCCGGUUUGUCACCGGCGGUCCCCUUAGAGUUCCCAACUUAAUGCUGGCCUUGACAUGCAAGUGGUAGAAGCCUGAAAGGGUGACGACCCCGCAAGGGGAGCUUGCACAGGUGCUGCAUGGCUGUCGUCAGCUCGUGUCGUGAGAUGUUGGGUUAAGUCCCGCAACGAGCGCAACCCUUGUGUCCUGUUGCCACCCCAACGAGAGUUGGGAGCACUCUGGACAGACUGCCUCGCUUAAACGGGGAGGAAGGUGGGGAUGACGUUUCCUCAUGCGUU
Molecule: unclassified non-coding RNA, 276 nt
Filed under: uncultured Verrucomicrobiae bacterium
Lineage: Bacteria; Pseudomonadati; Verrucomicrobiota; Verrucomicrobiia
Description: contains 16S-23S intergenic spacer region
Rfam family: Bacterial small subunit ribosomal RNA (bases 45-276)
Source: RNAcentral